AAAAAUCCUAAUAUAUCGAACAGCCUUAUCUGUUUGACAGCUGAUACUUUCCACGUCGUUAACUUAACCUAACUUUCUUUUUGUUUACAAACUUUUGGCAUUAAAUUUAAAAUGUAGAAAAGGGGCGCCAACGUGCCCCAGACCCUAUAAUGAGACAGAGGAUAACCCCGGCAGAGUUCCUAAAGAAGAACUGGUUGCUAGUGGCGAUUUUGUGUUGUAUCUUCCUAGCAGGAUUAUACCCAAAACUUGGAUCUAAAGAGGGACCACUAAAGACUGAAUAUUCAGUAAAGUAUGGGGCAGUGUCUCUCAUGUUUUUCAUAAGCGGUUUUUCCCUUAAAACCGACAGCAUCUUUUACACAUUUAAACAGUAUAAAUUGCAUUUAUUUAUACAACUAUUUACAUUCCUUCUUGUUCCUAUUUACACUCAGCUCUUUGUAAAGUUUUUGAGCAUGUUUGGUAUUAAUGGAUGGGUAUUAAAAGGGUUAAUUACAGUGUCUUGUAUGCCUCCACCAGUUAGCAGUGCAGUUAUUUUAACUAGGGCAGCCCAAGGCAAUGAAACUGCUGCCAUAUUUAAUUCUGUAGUAGGGAGCUUUUUAGGAAUUAUUAUUACUCCUAUAUUGUUGUUAUUUAAUUUAGGUUCAACCACAAUUGUGCCUCUUUUUGGUACAGUUUUACAAUUGACUGUCUCAGUGAUUCUUCCUCUGCUUGCGGGGCAGCUAAUAAAGGUUUUUACUAAUUUUCGAGGGCACAGAAUUCCUUUUGGCACAAUCAGCCAAUGUGCUUUAUUGUUUGUGAUAUACACAACAUUUUGUGAUACCUUUUUGGUACCGGAGACUGGACUGUCAGCUUUAGAUGUCAUUUUUACAAUAUUUUCUGUUCUUUUGCUACAAAUUGCUUUAAUUUUAUUGAGCUUUAAGCUGUCUAACUCUAUGAGGAAAUUGUUUACUUCAGCGGACGUUAUUGCCAUGGUGUUUUGCUCUACUCACAAGUCCUUAACACUUGGUAUUCCAAUUUUAAGGAUAAUGUUUCAUGGGUAUUCACAUUUGAGCCAAAUAAGCUUACCACUGUUGGUGUACCAUCCAACACAAAUUAUUUUAGGCGGGCUGAUGGUGCCCCAGCUCAAAGAUUGGCUGCAUUCUCAAAAAAAGAGGAAGUUGCCAGUUUAAAUGGUUUAUAACUCAGUGUUAUUCAUUGAUUAAGUAGGAGUAUUUGGUUUUCCAGCAAAUGAAGUCUAGAUGUUGGACCCAAGUUAAGGUAUGAUCUAAUAUAAUGGCUAAAAAUUUUGUUUUAACUAUUUUUGGAUGUUUAUCUGUUCUGGUAUGUUCAAUGCGGAUCCUUGAGUUUUAAAAACUACCAGCUAGUACCAUAACGUUUUCCAUCUUAAAAAUAUGAGGAGUGUCAAGUGAUGUUACAAGAACUUUGGUAUCAUUUGCAUAAUUGGUGAUUUCAACGCACAGCAUAAAGAAACCAGCAGUCUCACUCCGCUCGAAAAUGUAAGCGAA
RNA transcript from Anthonomus grandis grandis, 1502 nucleotides. It is a transcript of the gene named sodium/bile acid cotransporter 7-B-like, with no coding region annotated. NCBI's taxonomy places the organism in Eukaryota, Metazoa, Arthropoda, Insecta, Coleoptera, Curculionidae. The record is from RefSeq and is a predicted model, not a curated record. The transcript has 8 exons.